GUCGCCCCGAAGCCAUUUGCUUAGCAGAACAGAAAGAAAAAAAAACAAACUGAAAGAAACUGGUCAGACGAUCGUUCUCAUGUGUGUGUAUGUGGGAACUCAUAAAGACACCGGAGUUGGAGACAUUUCUAUGCUUCUGUAACUUGUUUAUGGUGGAGCUACUAGGCUAACGUUAUUAGAUUUUAUGUGUAGAAACACAUUGCACGACCGGUCUAUUCUCGGUUUCUCGGUUACUGCUGUGGACUAGAAAUGGACUGGUGCUGUUUGGGGUACAAGAGUAAAAGACACUAAGUUGUAGAACUUGUUAUUUUCUUAAAAGGUUUCGUCACAAGUUGUCUUACGAGAAGGGAGGUCCAAGAACAUUUCGAAAACUACUGCUUCAUGUAAGUGAAAUCUAUAUACUAAGACUCAAACUGUUUACAGAACUAGCUAGAUUUCAACACAUUAAACAUAUUCAUUUCCUGAGGGCUCGAUUUAAAUGAAUCGUCAUAACUUCAAGCGGAUGCCGAAAUCAAUCAAACUAAUAACAAGUUCAAAUAUAUUUCAAUCCUAGACCGUUUCUUGGAAGGCGUGUAGAUUACCAUAACAUCUCAGCCAAAACCACCGCCGAAUCAUCAUCAUCAUCAUGAUCAUAAUCAUUACCGUACGGUGAAUAGCUGAAAGCACGCCUUGACCGUAGGUUUUAGAGGUGUAAAGAUCGAAAGAAAUAGAUCACUUUCAUUUUUUUCUCCAUCGCACCCAACUGCUUGUUACGCCACACUGUGCGUGAAGCGAUCGUUCGCCGUGGAGUAGAGGGUUUAAUCAUUGGGGCCCCCAUUCUUGGAAUGUCAGUCGGUCCUCCCCAAGAGCCUCCCCGGUCGAAAGCGUGCAGUCAUUAGCGAUCGUUAUUAAUCCAAUUUAAUUCGAUAAUCAGUCGGUGUUUUGCGUACGGGCAUAUUUUACCUGUAGAUGGAAAAGAGCAACCUUUUUUUUAUCCAACGAACCGAAACCGAGAGAGCGCUGGAGCACACGGCUGUUAUGACACAUGACAUUUAGCGAUUGACAUUUCAAAGUCCGUGAUGUGUUUCAUAUACUACAAAACCCGUAACCGGCGAGGCCUGUUCUUAGCAAAUAUUAUAGUUCUGCUUUAGUUCUGUACAGUAAAGAGCAAGAACGAGAGGCGCCGGUGAUCGGCUGAAGUUCUCAUUCACUCUUGUCGAGAGGCAAGGUACGGGGAGCUGUUAGUUCUAUCUAGUCUGGUGCAAAGUCUACUGAGGGCUCCACAGCUGCUGGUGCUGCUGCUGAUGAUGAUGGUGAUGGUGAUCUUGACGAGGAUCUCUUCGUUAAGCGCCAGUCGCGGAUGUGGCGAAGGAACUUCGAACGGAGCAGCAUCUUUUGUCCGGAUCGUAGGAUGAAUGGAAGACGAUGCCGCCGUAAGUCACAUUGGGUAAUUGUUUGCCAAACGAAAAGGUCAAGCUCAUAAUGAUGUUUCAUUUAAGUGUUGUUUGCUCAGGCGUCAAUGGAUUCGGGAGCUAAGCUGGUACAAAACUUGGUGUUAUAACUGAUUGGUAGGACUUUCUACCAGCAUGCAAAAAUGAAUAUUCGGUAACAUUUGUAGGGUAAACACAGACCCGGUGAGCUCGUCGUCACUCUUUUUCUAGGAAAUGAGGAGCCAUCCAACGCAGAUCUAGGGGCACCAAAGAUAAAUAAUAAAGACAUGUAUGUGCUUACAAAUAUUAAAAAAAAUGUGGUCCGUUCCCGGUAUCUUCUAAAAUGACCGCACUCACCGCUCGGUGGACCGCGAGAUUAAUUGCAUUGUUAUCAUUUCGACCAAAGUGUGCCAUGAAAUCUCAAUAUAUACACGCAGAGAAAAAAAUUAUAAAAAUAAUUAAAUUUGGGUCUCACCCAACGAAUAUUUUUGUUGAAAUAGUGACAAAAGAAAAUUUGGUUUGAUAUUGUAAAUAUUGCUAAUUGA
Malaya genurostris is the source of this 1954-nucleotide long non-coding RNA. RefSeq lists it as uncharacterized. The transcript is spliced from 3 exons. NCBI's taxonomy places the organism in Eukaryota, Metazoa, Arthropoda, Insecta, Diptera, Culicidae. The record is from RefSeq and is a predicted model, not a curated record.